Molecule: non-coding RNA, 109 nt
Organism: Rhypophila decipiens
Lineage: Eukaryota; Fungi; Ascomycota; Sordariomycetes; Sordariales; Naviculisporaceae
Source: the annotation of a GenBank genome assembly
GCCCGGCUGGCGCAAUGGUAGCGCGCAAGACUUCUAUGAUCUCCUUCCUAUCCCAGGAAAGAGAGAGAGCCCAAUCUUGAGGCUGUGGGUUCGAGUCCCACGUCGGGUG